AAGACACUGAAGGGGAAAAGGAAAGUGAGAAAAGUUUCAAAAUUAAUUAAGAUUCCAAUCUUGAGAGCAAAGUACUAAGUCUUAACUUUGUCUAGCAGAGUGUUUAGUAAGCACAGUUAAUAAGACUAACCUAUUAGAUUUGUGCCGCUCUAAUUGAUCUUAAAAUAUGUAAAGAGUCGAAUUCUCACAUGUGAAGAUGGCUGAAGAUUUAAAAUAGGCAUUGAGCCGCUUUCGGAGAAGUCACGGUGCCGUGGCAUUCCAGCCAACCAAUAGGAAGAGCAGCUGCAGUUUAUAAACUGACCGAUCACGACAGAAGCCGCUUUCAACCGAAACAAGCCACACACACCCAGUUGUUUAUUAUCUGGAGAAUAAAUAUCUACUGUAGCCCUGACUACUAAUUUGAGUCCACUAAUUAUUUUACAUCAACAAUAAUCUCAGGGCAAUAAAGUCCUACAUAAAAAACAGCUAAAAUUUCGAUUUAUACUGCAUCUGUGAUCAUCAGUUCAAUUAAAGGAUUCUGGGAGACAGCGGCAUCAUGCAUGAAUCUCAUGGUGAGAAGGCUGUGGGACAGGGUGUGAGAUGAUGUUCAACUCCUUUUCACCAAUGAAUGCUUCUAUUGUUUGCCGAUUAAAGCGAAGAGGGAGAUUGAAACAUCGAGGUGAAUGUGGAAGUUUUUUGCAGACAACUGCAUGCAGAAGUGAAAACAGGCUAGAAAAGUAUCCCAGCUGAUGUUAUGUGUACCUAUGGCUUAAACUGCUAAUGCUGACAGAAAGACUAUCAUGAUGACCUCUUCAGUAUGGACCAACAUGAUGUCAUGGAAGAUGCUUCCUUCAUGUUCAGUCCACAACGUAGUGCAUCAAAGAGUGUUGAAAAUAGGUGCAUGGGAAGACACGAGCUCCUCAGAGAGGAACUUAAAGAAAAGACAGGGAAUGAAGAAAAGAGGAAACAAGAUACAAUAUCUGGGGAGGUUUACAAUCUCUGUCUUAUAUUUUCCAGCACUGCACCUACCUCCACCAUCUAAUCCUGCUUUGUUGCACCAGGUGUAAACCCAACCAUUUACCCCACUGUUCCCAAAAGAAUAGAAAGCCCAAGUUCUGUAAUGGUGCAUCCUUGUGGUGCAUGACGUCUUCCUCAAAGUUUUCAUUAUCAUCCUCCUAUUGCAGCACCCCUUCCUGUGCAGAAGAGCACCAUUGAGAGUGCCUUGACAAGUUGCAUCUACAUCUGGUAUGGGAGCAGAAGAGCAUCAGACCAGAAGUCCCAACAAAGGAAUAUAAAUGGCUGAGAGGAUCAUUGUGGCCUUCCUACCAUCCAUCAGGGACAUUUAUCAGGAGCACUGCAUACAUGCAGCCCUUAGUAUUAUUAAGGAUCCCACCCAUCCAUUCAGUGAACUCUUUGACUUUUAACCAUCAGGCUAGAGACUCUGAUGUAUAAAAACAGAACAGUUAGGAUGCAAAACUGUUUCUUUCCUCAGACCAUUAGGCUUCUAACCUCCAAGCUGCAUCACAAACAAAGUGUCACUGAUUAAUCCAUUUUCUAUCCUGCAAUAUUUAAUUUAUGCACUUCACUUUGUUUAUUUAUGCAUAAUUCAUCUGUAGAUUUCACUCUCACUUUCAUAAGUUAUUGUGGGUGUAACUCCUGGUAAAGAUUUUACUGCUAAUGUUGUAGGAUAUUUACUAUAAUGGCUUUCUGUAGAAGCUGUGUGUUCCUCUGCUAGUGUUUGGGUUGCCAUUAAAGAUAAGAGGUAGUGAUGUUCCUGUUAAGAAAUGUCGUGUUAUCCAAUCAGGAUGGCGGAACCGGGAGAAGGUUAUAGAGAAUGCUAAGCUGAAAGGUUUUGUGAUGGACACUGAGGUGGGUUGAGGUCUUUUUGGUGGGAGGUAGAGAGAGGAGAAGCUUGAGAAAGGAUUCAAUCUGGCAGAAAUGCGUAAUUCCAUGAAGCCUAAGAGGGCGAAUUCUACCGGAGAUCAGUGAACAGGAGUUGGCAUAGUGAGUACAUUGGACAUAAUGGCUUUUGAAAGAUUUGAUCUCCAACUGUGCACAUUUGACUGCUUAAUUAUAGAAACAUAGAAAACCUGCAGCAGAAUACAGGCCCUUUGGCCCACAAAACUGUGCUGAACAUGUCCUUACCUGAGAAAUUAACGAGGGUUAUCCAUAGCCCCCUAGUUUUCUGAGCUCUAUAUAAUUAUGAUGGGUCCUUUUGUUUUUUGUCUUUUCUUUAAUAAUGGUCUGGUUAAGUUAGCAUUCAUAAAUAUACUUUCUUUAUAAUAGUAUGCAGUGUAUGGUCUGUUAUUUCUUGCAGACAGGCAUUAGCAUGGGGGCAGUAAAUUACACAGAAUUCAUACAGAUUGGAGUUCAUGUGGGCAAGACAUCCGAAUCUCACAGGUCUGGUGGGACCCAAGUUAUAUUUACCCUUGACAUAAGGAGUCUGGGAAAGGUGCUUUUCUCUUUGCUGAGUCCGGUGGCUGUUAAUAAACUGCAUCUCUAGAGAUGCCCAGUAAAUUGGGGUUUCAUGUGUUAUAUGUGUGUUAUGUGUACUACUGUGGAUUACACCCUAGUUCGGAGAAACAUUGCCUUGUCUGAGGUAUACAUGUGUAACCGGGUGACCAUCGAAUGCUAUUCAUUAUCUUUAAAAAGUGUACUCAGGCUUUCAUCCAGGUAAAGUGAGAAUAGUUGUCUGUGUCUUUAAGUGGAAAUGGUGACGUCAUUAUGCAUGCGCGGGAUAGCUGGAGACCAUUUACUUUCUGCUGCCGAAACUGGUAAGGCGGUGGAAUCAAGUUCCCCCAGAGGUGCUAGGCAUGGUGAGGAAAGAUGCUAUUCAACCCACUGAGAUGCUUUAACUGAAUGCUGCUGUGGAUUAUAGCAUUGGGAGUCUUUUGUGUCUACAGAGAUACUGUAGGAAGUCAUCCACGUAAUUGGAGUGACGCUGCCUGGCCUGCUGAGUUCCUCCAGCCUUCUGUGUGUGUUGCUUGGAUUUCCAGCAUCUGCAGACCCAGGAAUAGCUGACAAGACCAAUGGUUACUGUCUAUCCUCAACUGCUGAAGAUAAAAUGGUUGUUGGCCUCAUUCUUGAAUAGCUGCAGUUCAUCUGUUGGAAAGCUGUAUCUGAUGUUUUCAGCUCUCUGCUAGUCUUUCAAACACCAUCAAAAAUAGACCCUCUGCCGCAAACUGGCUCUUUGCCCUUCUACCUUCGAUUUAUAGAAUGUCCAAUAACAUCAUCAAUCACAUGGAAGUUAUCCUGACAAGUUGGGAUAAUCUUGCCCAGUUUUUCAACAAAGAAGACUACAAAAAGCAGGAGAAGGUGUGUCAAAUGGGAAACAGCAAUGAAGAAUCUUUCUACAUCUGAGUGUGAUGGUAUUCCUGAGUCUCCACCCGGGUCAUGCAUGACUGACAUCAGUGAAAAUCAAGAGGAAGCUACUGACGUGAUGAAGGAGGCCCGAACCCCACCAAAGAUGGAGAACCGUCAUUGUUGCCCUAAAUGCUAGCAGCAUAAGUGGCAGUAGUUUUGUCUUCCAGGUGCUGAAUUAUUGAUGUAUUAGUGUAAAAACACUUCAAAGAUAUAUUUGUGGGAGAACUUUACAUUCUUUGUGUGUCUUUCAAAUGCUGCCUGACCUGCUGAGUUCCUCCAGCAUUUUGUGUGCGUGCUCUGGAUUUCCCCCAUCUGUAGAACCUCUUCUGUUAAUGAAAGGCUACAUUAUGGUUGUGUAAAGUUCCUUGUUCUCCUGCGCCUCUAUAUUUACCUAACUGAUUAAACUGAAGAUCUCUCAGCUGAUUUCUGACUGUACACUGUGAAAGGCCGGUGGUUUGUGUGAAUACAAAUGAUAUGUGGGUCAGAUGAGCAAUGCAUUUCUCAAGCAGGAAAUUGGGGAAUAUUUCAGAAAAAUCUGAAUCUUAUCAACGUACACAAGCAAAAUCAAACUAAUAUUUUUAAUACUAUCACAAUAUUGUUUUCAUUUUUUUAUUUUUUUAUUGCAAAAUCAUCUAGACAUCCAGAAUAGGAUAUAGUAUUAGCUGCAGAAUGCGUUAUGUUAAAAUGUAGAGUGACAUAUGAAUGCUGGGGUCCAUAACCUGGGAAUUUACAGCAUAGAAUGAUGUUGACAAAUGAAAGCCAAUAAAUAGAACUUGGCAAGGUCAUACAAAUUCUUCAAUCUCUAUCAAACAAAAGUUCUGUUCGUCACAAACUCCCUUAUCAUUUUCUAAUCUACAAAGACUGGUGGCUGAGCACUAUUCUGCUUUUGAAGCUCUCCUUUUUUUCUAGACCUUUAUACAGUAUUCCUAUCUCUGUAACCUGAUCCUGUGCUGCAGGUUAUGUACACAGCUUGGAUUAGAAUUCUAGCUUCUUUAUCAGUUGGAAAUUACCUUCACCUGCCAAAGACAGAAGACUAAAAAUUUCCUUCCUAAGCAAAUUGCUUCUUUGCUUCUUUCUGUCUCUCUGUCCUGUUAGAUUUCCAUAGCCCACAUUUUUAUCAAACAUCUGAGCUCCUGCCCAAACAUCUUCUGUGAUUCUAUAUAAAUGUUGUUCGAUAGUGUACCUGUACGACUUGCAAAAGAUGUUAGCCUACAUUAAAAAAUGCAUAUCUAACUCUUUUGCUGUUGGUUUCAUUUAUUUAAAUAUCAUUUCUUUUUUGAUGCAUUCCAUGGAUAUAAAAGUAUCUACAGAAUCAGAUUUAAUAUGCAUGUUGUGAAAUUUAUUUUUUUGAGGCAGCAGUACAAUGCAAUACAUAAUAAUUUAAAAAGCUAUAAAUUACAAUAAGAAAUACAUAUAAAGAUUAAAUUAAGUAAGUAGUGUAAAAGGAAAGCAAAAAUAAAGUAGUGAGGUACUGUUCAUGGGUUCAUUGUCCAUUCAGAAAUCUGAUCGCAGAAGGGAAGAAGUUGUUUGUGAAGUGUCUUCAGGUAUGUAUCUCCUGCUUGAUGGUAACAAUGAGAAGAGGGUAUGUCCUGUGUGAUGGGGUCCUUAAUGAUGGAUGCAGCCUUCCUGAGGUGCUACCUUUGGAGGUGUCCUAGAUGCUAGGGAGGCUACUGUCGACGAUGGAGCUCGUUGAGCUGGAAAACUUCCUUUAGUUUUUUCAAAUCCUGUACAGUGGUCUCUGUGUGCCAGAUGGUGAUGCAAACAGUUAGAAUGCUCUCCACCGUACACCUGUAGAAAUUUGUGAGUGCCUUUGAUGACACACCAAGUCUCCUCACACUGCCGAUGAGAUGUAGCUGCUGUUGUACCUUCUUUGUAAUUGCAUCACGUAUCGGACCCAGGAUAGAUCUUCAAAGCUGUUGACAACGAGGAACUUGAAACUGCUCACUCAUCCCAUUGCUGAUCCUUUGAUGAGGUCUGAUAUCUGUUCCCUUAACUCCUCCUUCCAGAAGUCCACAAUCAAUUCCAUAGUCUUAAUGACGUUGAGUGCAAGGUUGUUGUUGCAACACUACUCAACCAGCUAAUCUAUUUUACUACACUACACCUCCUCAUCACCAUUGAAAUACCGCCAACAAUAGUUUUCUUAUCAGCAAAUUUAUAGAUGUCCUUUGAGCUGUGCCUAGCCCACACAGUUGUGAGUUCAUGCCCUAAGCACACAUCCUUGAGGUGUGCCAGUGUUGAUUGUCAGCGAAGGGGAGGAGUUAUUUCUGAUUCACACUGACUGGGAUCUCCCAGUGCAGAAGUCAAUGAUCCAAUUGCAGUGGGAGGUACAGAGGCCUAGGUUUUGGAGCUGAGGACAUAAUUGUCUUGAACACUGAACUGUAAUUAAUAAACAGCAGCCUCCUCCCCUCCUUCACUGCAAGUAGUUUUCUUUCAUCCAAUGGAUUUUUCAACACCCAGCCAAGAAAAAUGGUCAUCCAUACUGCAGGAUGCAAUGCUAAGAGGGAUUGGCCUUUUGCUCAUGCUCCCAAAAUGUUUUGUUGCAACCACAUAAUUGUGUGCAUUGUCACAAAGGGUUACAGUAGAAGUUUGAAAUACAAAAAGCAAGUACUGGAAGCAGUCUGCAGGUCAAGUAGUAUCCAUACAGAAAGAAACAGUUAAUAUUUUUGGUUGAGCAUUUUCCACCAGACAUGAUUCAUUCAGUUGUGUGGUGGGUGCCAUAAUCCUGACAAAUGGGGAAGGCAAAGAACAGAUCUGUCAACUUGAAAGUAGGCACCAUGAGCAGUAGAGUCUGACUUCUGAGCUCUGACCUAGUAUGUCCCAUCAUGCAACCAUUACUAUUAAGCAAAUGAUCAAUUCCGGUUUAAUGAAGCAUGCACUACCACAUGACAGAUUUUCAGCUUGCAAAAUCAAGUCUUGUUUCUCUUUCUAUAAGCAC
This is a long non-coding RNA of Hypanus sabinus (Atlantic stingray), 6277 nucleotides long. RefSeq lists it as uncharacterized. The record is from RefSeq and is a predicted model, not a curated record. NCBI's taxonomy places the organism in Eukaryota, Metazoa, Chordata, Chondrichthyes, Myliobatiformes, Dasyatidae. The transcript has 15 exons.